AGCACGGAGGGCUGCGGCAGCAGAGAGCCCCGCUGUCAUUUUCGUCGGUAAAACACAACUGGCGUCUGAGCUCUUUUCCGAGUAAUAGCGGCACGGGAGAGGGAGCUGACACCAUCAGAGCGGAGGCUGGGACAGGUCCCAGAGCUCGAGCCGCACCAGCGCGGCGAUGGGUCUUCAGAGUGCUGUCCUGGAACCACAGCCGGGAGAACGUGAUGGAGCCCGCCGCUAUUUUGGGGAGGUGCAAAGUCGCCGUGCCUCGCUGCUCUGCGGCACGCGGCCGGUGCUGUUAGGAAAGCUCCGCGCAGUGCGUAAGCGCGUGAGUCCUCACUGGCUGCCGGCAGCCGCCGUGUCGACGUGCAGCUGUGCUGUCGCCAUCCCUGCAGGCACGUGCUCUGCUUCCUACGGCAGGAGGACGAGCUGCUCCUAGGGGGGGUUCCCUCGUUUCCCAGCAGUCCCUCCUGCACACUGCUGACUUACGCAGCUCCGGUGUUGGUUUGAAGGGUUCCAAGCUCAGCCGUCCACCCAGGCCGUGCACCAGGAGGUCUGGCUCCACAGCAGGGCAGCUGAACAAAACGUCCAUCCCACCUCAGCCACUGUGAUUCAUAGAGAAGUACUUUGGCACAAACCAACCUUCAUCAGCAAUUAAAUCAGGCGUCAAAGAUUCCAUGUCACAAGUUGUUCCAAGUUUACCUCCAUCUGUGUGUUCCUGUCAAGGGCAACCACACCAAUUCCACUGAAAUCAAACCACGUGGGCUUUGCAGGGUUUGCCUUUGGCCGGGCAGGUGUCUGCUCCAUCCACACAGCAGGAGGAAGAAGCGUGUGGGAGCGCAGAGAGAAAUGGGCUCAGCAUGAAACCGCAUGUGAGACUGAAGUGAAAACAACAAGGAAGUCGAGCGUAUAAGCAUGAAGCUCAGAUGCCAGUGGGAGCCACACCUGCCUUUCUGUCUGCUCUAAAGAGGGUGGUGAUGUUUUUUUGGUCAGACGUGGACAGAGGCCCGCAGAAACGACAGAGAUGCUCCCCUGCAGCUCCAGCAGCGCUGUGAGCAGGAGAGCCGUGGCCUUGUGGAGGUCACUGAGUUAAGUGCUGCUAAUUCCCUGUUUGUUGACCUCGGUGAGGCAGGAUUAGGGCAGGCCAGCAGUGCGAGGUGGCCUUGUGCUGCCUGCAUGGCACGCCAGGAAUGUGGCUGCUGGAGAGUUGGCUCUGCCUGGGUUUGAAGGGGCUGCGUGGGGCAGUGCUGGCCCUCAGUGCUCAGUUCUUUGUGCAGAGCUGGAGGCCGAGGGCCGUCCUGAGUGCUGUCCUGGCCAUGGGGCCUGGCUGAGUGGGAGAAAAUGGCUUCCUACCCCUCACUUCCCCAACUAAUAAAUGACAUUUAAC
Molecule: long non-coding RNA, 1375 nt
Organism: Gallus gallus (chicken)
Lineage: Eukaryota; Metazoa; Chordata; Aves; Galliformes; Phasianidae
Source: Ensembl